CUGCAUGAUGCGUCCUACAUCCACACCUGUGCCCUAGGUGUUCGUGUACGUGGGACUCUAAUAUUAGUGGUUACCAUAUGAUCAGCCGUACGCAAAUAAUCUUUUGAUUUCAGACACUCAGGAAGACAGCAGCGUUAUUCGUGGAGACACCCAGAGCAGGAGGAGGAGGAGAACUCAAUUUUAAGAACUAAUGGGUACCUAUACAGUGAUGAUAAAGCUAGCGGUGGUAGUCCUACUCUGUCUUGCACUCACCGUUGAUGCCCAGUCACAGGCAUUCGGUAGAGGGCACUGCCGAGGACAACGCUGUGAACAUCCGUGUUUCUGUUCGAGGAAAUACGACCCCGUGUGUGGCAGUAACGGAAUCCCCUAUAGCAUCGCAUGUAGAAUAAGGUG
Molecule: long non-coding RNA, 393 nt
Organism: Priapulus caudatus
Lineage: Eukaryota; Metazoa; Priapulida; Priapulimorpha; Priapulimorphida; Priapulidae
Exons: 3
Source: RefSeq, a predicted model, not a curated record